CUCUCUCUCUCUCUCUCUCUCUCUCUCCCCUUCCCUCUCUCUCUCUCUCUCUAUCCUUUUUGUGUGCAUGGGCUAACUUUUGAGGAGGGAAGAACUUAAUUUAAUCUCUAAUUUUUAAGAAAUGGAAGUGCAGAGGGGAGAGGUGAACCUCCUGCAGCAACCUUUCCUUCCCAAUGUAACCAAAACAAAAUGAAAGGGAGAUCAAGAAAUAAGUGCGACAAGAAAACUCCCGCCUCCUCGUUUGCUGCACUGCCACUGAGAUUAAGAUGUGAGAGAGAGAAGGGACGAUGGCAGUGGAACUACAGUGGAUGGAAAUAGGGGAUGAGUAAAGUGAGGGUUGCAAAGGAUGAAAGAGUGAUAUAUUUAUAUAUAUAAUUAAUAUUCACCACACGACAAUCCCCGAGGUUGGAGAAUAUGUGAGCUUUGAAUGCGACGGAUUGCACCUCUCAGUGCGCCCUAGGCCUCUCCUCUUCCUUGUAGCUAGGUGGUGAGGUGGUGGGCCUUUGAUUCCCCUGCCGUGCCACUUGCCCUUCUCUCUC
Molecule: long non-coding RNA, 539 nt
Filed under: Elaeis guineensis (African oil palm)
Lineage: Eukaryota; Viridiplantae; Streptophyta; Magnoliopsida; Arecales; Arecaceae
Description: long non-coding RNA (EGUI_LNC073559)
Source: RNAcentral